RNAcentral lists this ribosomal RNA (333 nucleotides) under uncultured Anaerolineaceae bacterium. Its description in RNAcentral is "bacterial SSU rRNA". It matches the Rfam family "Bacterial small subunit ribosomal RNA", at positions 1035 to 1382 of the family's 1533-position model. Lineage: Bacteria; Bacillati; Chloroflexota; Anaerolineae; Anaerolineales; Anaerolineaceae. The record is from RNAcentral.
CAGGUGUUGCAUGGCUGUCGUCAGCUCGUGUCGUGAGAUGUUCGGUUAAGUCCGCUAACGAGCGCAACCCUCGUCGUAUGUUAUAUGUGUCAUACGAGACUGCCGGUAAAAAGCCGGAGGAAGGUGAGGAUGAUGUCAAGUCAGCAUGACCUUUAUAUCCAGGGCUACACACACGCUACAAUGGUCUGUACAAUGGGUAGCCAAGCCGCGAGGCGGAGCCAAUCCUGAAAGCAGGCCUCAGUUCAGAUUGCAGUCUGCAACUCGACUGCAUGAAGCCGGAGUUGCUAGUAACCGCAGGUCAGCAAUACUGCGGUGAAUACGUUCCCGGGUCUU